RNAcentral lists this long non-coding RNA (4730 nucleotides) under Taeniopygia guttata (zebra finch). Its description in RNAcentral is "lncRNA (ENSTGUG00000019920.1)". Lineage: Eukaryota; Metazoa; Chordata; Aves; Passeriformes; Estrildidae. The record is from RNAcentral.
AAAUCCAUCAAUCCUAAUUUAAUGGGAGAAUAUUCAGGUAGACAGUAAUUGAGUUGGAAUUUGGCCAAAGCCUUGGGGUUAAAGAACCUACUGUUAUGAAAUGUGUUAGAGGACCUUUAAUGAAUACAGACAAUUCAGAUCAUGGUUUCCUCUCUUUGGCAAGGGGUAGCAGAAAAUGCUGCUUUGCCUCCAGGAAUAAUUUGGUGCCUGUAAUCAGGCUGGGGCAUUGAAAAAAAAAUAUGCCACUUCUGAAACACCAGAACCAUUUCCUUACCAAUGAAGAUCUCAGUGUGUUGACCUGUAGGAGGAGUAGCUGGCCCAUGUAUUUUAGUAAUAACCUUCACAUCAGUACUGGGAAAUAACCACUAAGCAAGUAAAGAAAUCCUUAACUAAUUUGAAAUUACUUACAUUAGAUUCAACUAAAUUGGGGAUUUCUUGGCUAUUUUCUAAUCUCAAAAAAUCUGCUGGUUUGCAGAAUAAUUUCAAACAAAUUUAUUAAGCCCUUCAGUUAGGCUGGAUGAGAAGAAGGUCUCCAGACUUGCUGCUUUCCAUAGAUAGGUAUAUCCAUACCCAUAAGUUCUUCUGGAUUUCUUGCACAUAUUUAUUUCUAACUAUAGCUAAAGGUUGGAAAAGGGACUGGGAAAAAAAAAAAAAAGGACUGGAAAAGUCCUUGGCAGCCUAAACAUGAGGGAAAAUUGAUGCCUUACAGAUACUAGAAUUGUUUGCCUUUUAAGAUCUCCAGGUAAAAAGAACUGUGUCAGCCAGCUGAAGCCCAAAUGUAAGUUAUUGUAUGCACAGAAGGGAUUGUAUUUUGUUGUUUUAAACCACAUUUAGUGUGGGAUACUUUAUCAGCUGAAUCAGAGAAGUCCCUUUAAAAGAAACAGCCUUUAAAAUGCCUAUGAAAGUAUUUACUUCAGAGAUUAAAAAAAUACGUAAGUCGAACUUUAUAUGGGUGCUUAAAUUUUUCAAUAUUUUGAAUAUUGAAAUAUAAAUAUUUCAAUAUGUUGAAAAUACCUGAAAUUCUGGAUAUAUUGUGCUGCCUUGCAUCAGGACAGCUCCCCAGAGCAGGAGUGAUUUUGUAAUGCUACAUGUUAAAGCUAAAUUCUUGCUAAACUAGCAGAGGUGAUGGUUUAUUUGUACCUUCUUUAAGUAUGCAUUUACUCUUCAUUUAAAGCUCAUAGUGGGUGUAGUUCCCAGAACACUGACAGAGAAGGACCUGACAUACCAAGUAUCUCCAGAAACUCUGGCAUUAUUACAACCUGUAACAUUUACACCUCUGUGUGUGUAAUGGCUCAAGUAGUAUUGGGUCAAUCAUACUUAGGCCAACCAGUGCCCUGCUACAGAGUUUAGUGGGCCUGAGAGUGAACCUCCAUUCCAAAAUCUGCAUUAAAAUUUAUAUAUUUAACUUUGUGCUUCUAUUAAAAAGAGUACUUCCUUUGUACAAGCAUACUUUGAAACACAGUAUGUGUUCUGUAUUACUGGGAUUAGAUUUUGGAAGGUAAAAUCAACUUUGUUUAAAAACAUACACAGGAGGUAAACUGAGUAACUCAUUUUUAGUGCCCUGUCUGAGAUUCCCUGCAUUCCCCUAAUGCUUUCCCCUCCAGUCUCAGUCCCUAGAAACAAAUAGACAGCAAAACCUGGGCAAGUGGUUAAUUCCUUCAAGAUGACAUGGACUUGGAAUCCAAAGAAAUAUUAUUCUUCCUUUUAUAUUUGAUUUUUGGUUUGGAUUAUUCGAGGAUAUUUAUCCUUCUCUCUUGGAAUAAUUUUGCUUUUGGAAUAAUUUCAGAGAACAAACAUAGUACAUGGUUUAACUUACUGCGACCCACUGGCUCCCAGAAUAACUUCUACUGACUUAUUUCUCAACUGUUGGCUAUGCCCUGCUGGCUCUUAACUCCUUUCCUGCCCCUCAGAUCUGGAAUUGCUGCCGAGAUAUUUUUCUUGAGGACCUCUUAUUUCUGAUUUACUGUGUGCUUCUCUAAGUAAAGGAAUUACAUGUCUGUAAAGUAGUAGGAAGCUGCUGAUGCUUUUUGAGAGCAGAACCACACACAGGAGACCCAUAGAAUUUGCUUUGUAAUUGAAUGGUACAUUUCUCAGCAUCCAGAUUUUUAGCUGUUGUGAUUUCUCUUUUAAGAUGAUAAAUCCUUCAGAGGUUGCCAUGCAUUCCUAUUAAAGACAGCUAGAAUAUAUUUCCCAAGCUCAUAAUAAUAAGUUGCUUGUGCACAGACUGCCAAAGAAUCUCCCUUUAGAGUUUUGUGUAAUCCUCCAGUAACCUUGUGCAAACUUCUCCUGGGAUGUAACAGAAACUUGGCACCUUCUUCUGCCUGUCCCCAAGUUGGGCUGGUGCCUCUCGGAGCUGUGCCCUGCACUGUUGCUGAGGGCUUGUUUUUGUCUUUGGACUGAUUGGAUCUUUCUUUUGGAGGCCAGGUUGUGCCAGCUCCACCAGGGCUGAGCGGUCCCACUGUGCUCAGUGAAACCAUUCAUGGAGCGAGGUGAGCUCAGGAGCUGCUCAAUGGGAGCUGGGCUGGCACCGUCUGGCCCUUGGAAGCAGAGAGAGGAAAGUCUUUUCCUCCUUUUGUGAAAAGCAGAGAGCAUGUGUAACUGAGAGGGAUGGUGAGCAGGAAUGUGUCAGGAAGAAGUAGACAUGGGAAAGAAAUGAAUCUUUGAUUCGUUAUCACAGAACAGCAGCUAAGCUGGAGCCAAAAAAUACUUGAGGGAUUUAACAUGAGAUCUAAAUUUUAUUUUAGAGUUCAUGCUGCAAUUUCACUGCAAUGACAAAAAUGAUUCAACUGAAUAAUUCAACUGAAGCUGAUAAUUGUUACGUUUUUCUUGGUGGUUUGAUGGAUGAACUGAUAUUGAAGUUUAAAAAUCUCUCUCCUUUUAGCGAAAAAAAAAAACAACCAAGAGCCACUGUUCUGCUCCAGAGCACAUGCUUGAGAAGGGCUGGAUAUACAGUGCAUUUGCUGCUGCUGCUGCAGAUGUUGGUGAAUGUGGAUAUGGACACAGGAGUGAGUAUCAAUAUACUGUAAAACCUUGAAAAUAUAAAGGAAUACAUAUCUUCUUUUUUAUAUUUGUUUUGUUGUUGUUGUUUUUAUUUGUUUGUUGUUAGUUGUUUUUGGUUUAUUUCUUUGUUAAAUUUGGAGAGUAGUGCAUUUCAUUGAAACCAUGAGUAUUGCUGCACAGCCUGAGUAUUGCUGCACAGGUUUGUUUAAACCAAAGCAAUUGCCUGUCCCUAGCCAUUACUCAUAGCUGUGAGAAAACUUCACAGGACUUAGCUUAGGCAUCUCCUAGUCCCUGGAGCUUAGAUAUAGUCCAGGACACACCAUGUGGAUAAACAAGAGGGUUGACACAGCUGUGCAGGAGCUGUGAGGAGAUUUUGGAGCAGACAAGCAGGAACAGCUUUGGGUAAUUGCCAUUGCACCAGAUCCUGCUCUGAAAAUGCUGUCCCUCCCACACAUAACAGUGUCUUCCUUUCUGGACAUUGGAGACUACCCUGGUCUGGGACAGGGGAAAGUAAAUUCUCAUCAUCAGUGCGGGGCCCAGCACUUGGUUUUCUUUCACCCAAAGAGCAGGGGGAAUAUCCUGCAGGGAGCUGGGCUGCUCCAGCUGGAGCACACCCAUGUGUUCCCCUUCUCCACACACACCUGGAUCUGCACUUCCUGCCCAGAGCAUGCACUGGAGACUCUGCCAGGACACCUGGUCCUUCCUGCUCCCUGGGAGUGUCAUCCACAUUGGACUGCACUGUCCUUAUAAACAGACCCUGCUCAUGGCAGUAGAAGUACUCCUAAAAAAUGAAAUGUUAAAUAAAACCAACUGCGAGUGCUGGAGGAAGAACCACUGGCGUGGAUCAGAGGGUUACAAUUCCCAGCCUCCAUGAGGACACACGUCUCAAAACAGUUCUCUAGUUGAAAAUUAAUUCUCAGAACAACUUCAAGUUUUUUUAAGCAACUGCUCAAGUAAAAGGAAUAAUCACUUUCUGUAGCACCAGCUAAAUAAUUGAAUGCAGAUCUUAGCAGAAUAUUAUCCGUCCAAGGACAGUGGUUGCAUAAUUAUUUCAUAUGAUAUAAAUAUUUAGAGAUUACUUUUCCCGUAGCAAUUAAAUCAAUCUAUUUGACUUAAAAUCAAAACUGAAUUUAAAAUGCUUAAUUUUUCAAAAAACUUAGUAUUUUUGGGUCUGCAGUGUAAAUUGAAAAUUUUAAAAAGCCUGUUAUAUUUUGAUUAAAUUGAUCUUUUUUUUUGGUUGCUCUUAUGGGUUGUAAAAGUUGAAGUCUGAAAACAGGGAGACUGGCAAGGAGACUGAGAAAUUAAUAGGCAAAGUCAUGUAAGUAAGAAUCUACCCAAAUGCUGAAAUUUAAAAAAAAAUAAAUUUGGUCAAAUAUGAAGUUCUGCAUCAAAAUUGCAUAUGUUCUCUUAGCACUGGAGCUGGUGAGGCUACCCUAGCAAACCUUUCUCAGAGGAGAUGUCACCAGAGCACAGGGGUGAAUGACUAAUCCAUCCCUGCCAAAAGCAUCUCCUGCUGAUUACAGGUCACGCGUGCUGCCUGGCUGCCUCAUGAGCUACCUCAUGCAUAAAAAAAUGGAUACUCAACAGCACAGGUAUCAUAAUUUUAUAAUCUUUUCAUUACUUAGACAUUUCUAUUUUUCUAAGGUGUUUCAUAGGCAUUGCAAGUAUUUACUAUGCAAUGAAAACUUUCUAUAAUAUACUUUUAAAUCAAUCCCCCUUGUCCCAUACCA